GACGAACGCUGGCGGCACGCUUAACACAUGCAAGUCGAACGAGAGAAGAGAAGCUUGCUUUUCUGAUCUAGUGGCGGACGGGUGAGUAACACGUGAGCAAUCUGCCUUUCAGAGGGGGAUACCGAUUGGAAACGAUCGUUAAUACCGCAUAACAUAAUUGAACCGCAUGAUUUGAUUAUCAAAGAUUUAUCGCUGAAAGAUGAGCUCGCGUCUGAUUAGCUAGUUGGUAAGGUAACGGCUUACCAAGGCGACGAUCAGUAGCCGGACUGAGAGGUUGAUCGGCCACAUUGGGACUGAGACACGGCCCAGACUCCUACGGGAGGCAGCAGUGGGGAAUAUUGCACAAUGGAGGAAACUCUGAUGCAGCGAUGCCGCGUGAGGGAAGAAGGUUUUAGGAUUGUAAACCUCUGUUUUCAGGGACGAAAAAAGACGGUACCUGAGGAGGAAGCUCCGGCUAACUACGUGCCAGCAGCCGCGGUAAUACGUAGGGAGCGAGCGUUGUCCGGAAUUACUGGGUGUAAAGGGAGCGUAGGCGGGAUCGCAAGUCAGAUGUGAAAACUAUGGGCUUAACCCAUAAACUGCAUUUGAAACUGUGGUUCUUGAGUGAAGUAGAGGUAAGCGGAAUUCCUAGUGUAGCGGUGAAAUGCGUAGAUAUUAGGAGGAACAUCAGUGGCGAAGGCGGCUUACUGGGCUUUAACUGACGCUGAGGCUCGAAAGCGUGGGGAGCAAACAGGAUUAGAUACCCUGGUAGUCCACGCCGUAAACGAUGAUUACUAGGUGUGGGGGGAGUGACCCCCUCCGUGCCGCAGCAAACGCAAUAAGUAAUCCACCUGGGGAGUACGACCGCAAGGUUGAAACUCAAAGGAAUUGACGGGGGCCCGCACAAGCAGUGGAGUAUGUGGAUUAAUUUGAAGCAACGCGAAGAACCUUACCAGGUCUUGACAUCGUAUGCAUAGCUCAGAGAUGAGUGAAAUCUCUUCGGAGACAUAUAGACAGGUGGUGCAUGGUUGUCGUCAGCUCGUGUCGUGAGAUGUUGGGUUAAGUCCCGCAACGAGCGCAACCCUUACUGUUAGUUGCUACGCAAGAGCACUCUAGCAGGACUGCCGUUGACAAAACGGAGGAAGGUGGGGAUGACGUCAAAUCAUCAUGCCCCUUAUGACCUGGGCCUCACACGUACUACAAUGGCUGUCAACAGAGGGAUGCAAAGCCGCGAGGUGGAGCGAACCCCUAAAAGCAGUCUUAGUUCGGAUUGUAGGCUGCAACCCGCCUACAUGAAGUCGGAAUUGCUAGUAAUCGCAGAUCAGCAUGCUGCGGUGAAUAAGUUCCCGGGCCUUGCACU
Molecule: ribosomal RNA, 1339 nt
Filed under: uncultured bacterium
Lineage: Bacteria
Description: bacterial SSU rRNA
Rfam family: Bacterial small subunit ribosomal RNA
Source: RNAcentral